This 160-nucleotide ribosomal RNA is filed under the name soil bacterium dns8. RNAcentral describes it as "partial 16S ribosomal RNA". It matches the Rfam family "Bacterial small subunit ribosomal RNA", at positions 355 to 507 of the family's 1533-position model. The record is from RNAcentral. Lineage: Bacteria; Pseudomonadati; Pseudomonadota; Gammaproteobacteria; Moraxellales; Moraxellaceae.
UGGGGAAUAUUGCACAAUGGGGGCAACCCUGAUCCAGCCAUGCCGCGUGUGUGAAGAAGGCCUUUUGGUUGUAAAGCACUUUAAGCAGUGAAGAAGACUCCAUGGUUAAUACCCAUGGACGAUGACAUUAGCUGCAGAAUAAGCACCGGCUAACUCUGUG